GCCGGGCAUGGUGGCGCACACCUGUAGUCCCAACUAUUUGGGAGGCUGAGGCUGGAGGAUCACUUGAGCCCAGGAGUUCUGGGCUGCAGUGCUAUGCCGAUCGGCAUAAACACUAAGUUUAGCAUCAGUAUGGUGACCACCAGGGAGCCGGGGGACCACCAGGUUGCCUAAGGAGAGGUGAACCGGCCCAGGUCUGAAAUGGAGCAGGUCAAAACUCCCGUGCUGAGCAGUAGAAAAUGUAAGUAUGUCUGGCGGUGACCCUUAAUGUAGCAGGUGGAAUUUUU
Molecule: signal recognition particle RNA, 284 nt
Filed under: Erinaceus europaeus (western European hedgehog)
Lineage: Eukaryota; Metazoa; Chordata; Mammalia; Eulipotyphla; Erinaceidae
Description: Metazoan signal recognition particle RNA
Rfam family: Metazoan signal recognition particle RNA
About the family: The signal recognition particle (SRP) is a universally conserved ribonucleoprotein. It is involved in the co-translational targeting of proteins to membranes. The eukaryotic SRP consists of a 300-nucleotide 7S RNA and six proteins: SRPs 72, 68, 54, 19, 14, and 9.
Source: Rfam by way of RNAcentral